CACGUAGGGCGCAAGCGUUGUCCGGAAUUAUUGGGCGUAAAGAGCUCGUAGGCGGUCUGUUGCGUCCGCUGUGAAAACCCGGGGCUUAACCCUGGGCUGGCAGUGGAUACGGACAGACUAGAGGUAGGUAGGGGAGAAUGGAAUUCCCGGUGUAGCGGUGAAAUGCGCAGAUAUCGGGAGGAACACCGGUGGCGAAGGCAGUGUCCUGGCGAGUGACUGACGCUGAGGUGCGAAAGCCAGGGGAGCGAACGGG
Molecule: ribosomal RNA, 253 nt
Filed under: uncultured bacterium
Lineage: Bacteria
Description: partial 16S ribosomal RNA
Rfam family: Bacterial small subunit ribosomal RNA
Source: RNAcentral